UUGCCAUCACAUUGUUGAUGGGACUAAUCGCCGUGUCUAUCUCACAACUGUUCGUCAGGACUGAGUAGGCUUGGUUAGAAUUUUUGUAACUAGUGUGGUACUUGUCAACCUCUUCUAGCGAUGGAUUUAAAUCUUACUUAAGUGUAUGUCGUCUUAUCCAGGGGUUCUCGUACCGCUAAGCACUGGUGAUUUGAUUUUUCCAAAAAAGAAAAAUUAAUGAUUCAAACUUG
RNAcentral lists this unclassified non-coding RNA (230 nucleotides) under Dicyrtoma fusca. Its description in RNAcentral is "sequence contains ITS2". The record is from RNAcentral. Lineage: Eukaryota; Metazoa; Arthropoda; Collembola; Symphypleona; Dicyrtomidae.